RNAcentral lists this ribosomal RNA (450 nucleotides) under uncultured bacterium. RNAcentral describes it as "partial 16S ribosomal RNA". It matches the Rfam family "Bacterial small subunit ribosomal RNA", at positions 29 to 523 of the family's 1533-position model. The record is from RNAcentral.
AACGAACGCUGGCGGCAUGCCUAACACAUGCAAGUCGAACGAGAUCUUCGGGUCUAGUGGCGCACGGGUGCGUAACGCGUGGGAAUCUGCCCUUUGGUUCGGAAUAACAGAUGGAAACGACUGCUAAUACCGGAUGAUGACGAAAGUCCAAAGAUUUAUCGCCAGAGGAUGAGCCCGCGUAGAGAUUAGCUCGUUGGUGUGGUAAAGGCGCACCAAGGCGACGAUCCUUAGCUGGUCUGAGAGGAUGAUCAGCCACACUGGGACGGAGACACGGCCCAGACUGCUACGGGAGGGAGCAGGGGGGAAUCUUGGACAAUGGGAGGAAGCCUGAUGCAGCAAUGCCGCGUGAGUGAUGAAGGCCUUAGGGUUGUAAAGCUCUUUUAGCCGGAAUGAUAAUGACAGGACCGUGAGAAUAAGCACCGGCUAACUCCGGGCGAGCCGCCGCGAUAA